RNAcentral lists this ribosomal RNA (470 nucleotides) under uncultured bacterium. Its description in RNAcentral is "partial 16S ribosomal RNA". It matches the Rfam family "Bacterial small subunit ribosomal RNA", at positions 28 to 507 of the family's 1533-position model. The record is from RNAcentral.
GACGAACGCUGGCGGCGUGCUUAACACAUGCAAGUCGAACGGUGAACGAGGGAGCUUGCUCCCUCCGGAUCAGUGGCGAACGGGUGAUUAACACGUGAGCAAUCUGCCCCUAACUCUGGGAUAAUCGUUGGAAACGACGUCUAAUACCGGAUACGACGCGGGAGGGCAUCCUCUCCGCGUGGAAAGAACUUCGGUUCGGGAUGAGCUCGCGGCCUAUCAGCUUGUUGGUGAGGUAACGGCUGACCAAUGCGACAACGGGUAGCCGGCCUGCGAGGGUGACCGGCCACACUGGGACUGAGACACGGCCCAGACUCCUACGGUAGGCAGCGGUGGGGAAUAUUGCACUAUGGGCGCAAGCCUGAUGCAGCAACGCCGCGUGAGGGACGACGGCCUUCGGGUUGUAAACCUCUUUUAGCAGGGAAGAAGCGAAAGUGACGGUACCUGCAGAAAAAGCACCGGCUAACUACGUG